AACGAACGCUGGCGGCAGGCCUAACACAUGCAAGUCGAGCGGAUGAGUGGAGCUUGCUCCAUGAUUCAGCGGCGGACGGGUGAGUAAUGCCUAGGAAUCUGCCUGGUAGUGGGGGACAACGUUUCGAAAGGAACGCUAAUACCGCAUACGUCCUACGGGAGAAAGUGGGGGAUCUUCGGACCUCACGCUAUCAGAUGAGCCUAGGUCGGAUUAGCUAGUUGGUGAGGUAAAGGCUCACCAAGGCGACGAUCCGUAACUGGUCUGAGAGGAUGAUCAGUCACACUGGAACUGAGACACGGUCCAGACUCCUACGGGAGGCAGCAGUGGGGAAUAUUGGACAAUGGGCGAAAGCCUGAUCCAGCCAUGCCGCGUGUGUGAAGAAGGUCUUCGGAUUGUAAAGCACUUCAAGUUGGGAGGAAGGGCAGUAAGUUAAUACCUUGCUGUUUUGACGUUACCAACAGAAUAAGCACCGGCUAACUUCGUGCCAGCAGCCGCGGUAA
Molecule: ribosomal RNA, 500 nt
Filed under: uncultured bacterium
Lineage: Bacteria
Description: partial 16S ribosomal RNA
Rfam family: Bacterial small subunit ribosomal RNA
Source: RNAcentral